GGGGAAUAUUGCACAAUGGGCGAAAGCCUGAUGCAGCAACGCCGCGUGAAGGAUGAAGGCCUUUGGGUCGUAAACUUCUGUCCUUGGGGAAGAAAAAAAUGACGGUACCCCUGGAGGAAGUCCCGGCUAACUACGUGCCAGCAGCCGCGGUAAU
This 154-nucleotide ribosomal RNA is filed under the name uncultured bacterium. Its description in RNAcentral is "partial 16S ribosomal RNA". It matches the Rfam family "Bacterial small subunit ribosomal RNA", at positions 356 to 524 of the family's 1533-position model. The record is from RNAcentral.